RNAcentral lists this ribosomal RNA (490 nucleotides) under uncultured bacterium. RNAcentral's name for it is "partial 16S ribosomal RNA". It matches the Rfam family "Bacterial small subunit ribosomal RNA", at positions 30 to 507 of the family's 1533-position model. The record is from RNAcentral.
AUUGAACGCUGGCGGCAGGCCUAACACAUGCAAGUCGAACGGUAACAGGAAGCAGCUUGCUGCUUCGCUGACGAGUGGCGGACGUGUGAGUAAUGUCUGUGAAACUGCCUGAUGGAGGGGGAUAACUACUGGAAACGGUAGCUAAUACCGCAUAACGUCUCAAGACCAAAGAGGGGGACCUUAGGGCCUCUUUCCUUCGGAUUUGCCCAGAUGGGAUUAGCUAGUAGGUGGGGUAACGGCUCACCUAGGCCACGAUCCCUAGCUGGUCUGAGAGGAUGACCAGCCACACUGGAACUGAGACACGGUCCAGACUCCUACGGGAGGCAGCAGUGGGGAAUACUGCACAAUGGGCGAAAGCCUGAUGCAGCAAUGCCGCGUGUAUGAAGAAGGCCUUCGGGUUGUAAAGUACUUUCAGCGGGGAGGAAGGAAGUAAAGUUAAUACCUUUGCUCAUUGACGUUACCCGCAGAAGAAGCACCGGCUAACUCCGUG